UACGAAGGGGGCUAGCGUUGUUCGGAAUUACUGGGCGUAAAGCGCACGUAGGCGGAUUGUUAAGUGAGGGGUGAAAUCCCGGGGCUCAACCCCGGAACUGCCUCUCAUACUGGCAAUCUCGAGUCCGGAAGAGGUGAGUGGAAUUCCGAGUGUAGAGGUGAAAUUCGUAGAUAUUCGGAGGAACACCAGUGGCGAAGGCGGCUCACUGGCCCGAAACUGACGCUGAGGUGCAAAAGCAUGGGGAGCGAACAGG
RNAcentral lists this unclassified non-coding RNA (253 nucleotides) under uncultured Alphaproteobacteria bacterium. Its description in RNAcentral is "contains 16S-23S intergenic spacer region". It matches the Rfam family "Bacterial small subunit ribosomal RNA", at positions 524 to 776 of the family's 1533-position model. The record is from RNAcentral. Lineage: Bacteria; Pseudomonadati; Pseudomonadota; Alphaproteobacteria.